RNAcentral lists this ribosomal RNA (449 nucleotides) under uncultured bacterium. RNAcentral's name for it is "partial 16S ribosomal RNA". It matches the Rfam family "Bacterial small subunit ribosomal RNA", at positions 29 to 523 of the family's 1533-position model. The record is from RNAcentral.
AACGAACGCUGGCGGCAUGCCUAACACAUGCAAGUCGAACGAGAUCUUCGGGUCUAGUGGCGCACGGGUGCGUAACGCGUGGGAAUCUGCCCUUUGGUUCGGAAUAACAGUUGGAAACGACUGCUAAUACCGGAUGAUGACGAAAGUCCAAAGAUUUAUCGCCAGAGGAUGAGCCCGCGUAGGGUUAGCUAGUUGGUGUGGUAAAGGCGCACCAAGGCGACGAUCCUUAGCUGGUCUGAGAGGAUGAUCAGCCACACUGGGACUGAGACACGGCCCAGACUCCUACGGGAGGCAGCAGUGGGGAAUAUUGAACAAUGGGCGAAAGCCUGAUCCAGCAAUGCCGCGUGAGUGAUGAAGGCCUUAGGGUUGUAAAGCUCUUUUACCCGGGAUGAUAAUGACAGUACCGGGAGAAUAAGCGCCGGCUAACUCCGUGCCAGCAGCCGCCGUAA